RNAcentral lists this ribosomal RNA (2128 nucleotides) under Candidatus Caldarchaeales archaeon. Its description in RNAcentral is "bacterial SSU rRNA". It matches the Rfam family "Archaeal small subunit ribosomal RNA". The record is from RNAcentral. Lineage: Archaea; Thermoproteati; Nitrososphaerota; Candidatus Caldarchaeales.
ACUCCGGUUGAUCCUGCCGGACCUCACUGCUAUCGGGGGGAGACUAAGCCAUGCAAGUCUAGGCCCAUAGCCACCUGUGGGCCUGGCGUACGGCUCAGUAACACGUGGCCAACCUACCCUGAGGAGGCGGAUAACACCGGGAAACUGGUGCAUAAACCGCCAUAGGUGAGAGGAUCUGGAACGACCUCUCGCCGAAAGAUGUACACGGGGAUGCCUGUGUACAUGCCUCAGGAUGGGGCUGCGGCCCAUCAGGUAGUUGGUGGGGUAACGGCCCACCAAGCCUAUAACGGGUACGGGCCCUGAGAGGGGGAGCCCGGAGAUGGACUCUGAGACAAGAGUCCAGGCCCUACGGGGCGCAGCAGGCGCGAAACCUCCGCAAUGCGCUCACGCGUGACGGGGUCACCCCGAGUGCCACCCUCGUGGUGGCUUUUGCGCAGUGUAAAAAGCUGCGCGAAUAAGCGGGGGGCAAGACGGGUGUCAGCCGCCGCGGUAAUACCCGCUCCGCGAGUGGUGAGGACUAUUACUGGGCUUAAAGCGUCCGUAGCCGGCUCGGCGUGCUCCGCGUUAAAUCCAGCAGCCUAACUGCUGGGCCGCGCGGAUGACUGCCGGGCUUGGGGGUGGGAGAGGGCAGCGGUAUUCCCGGGGUAGGGGUAAAAUCCACUGAUCCCGGGAGGACCACCAGUGGCGAAGGCGGCUGCCCAGAACACGCCCGACGGUGAGGGACGAAAGCUGGGGGAGCGAUCGGGAUUAGAUACCCCGGUAGUCCCAGCCGUAAACGAUGCGGGCUUGGCGUCGGAGCGGCUACGAGCCGUUCCGGUGCAGAAGGGAAACCAUUAAGCCCGCCGCCUGGGGAGUACGGCCGCAAGGCUGAAACUUAAAGGAAUGGAGGGUGAUCUGGGUAGGGGGUGUAUGCAGGGACUACGUGGUGAUGUUUGCUAUGCUAUCGGCGCUCUCCGAGAUGGAAGCAUAGAGAUACGCGUGGGCAAGAACUAUGAAAUAAGAUAUAAUCAACGUUGUUACCACUGGCUUGUUGAGCUACAGCGAAUAUUCUAUGAGCACUAUGGUGUGCGUGGUUCUAUACGACCUUGGAUUCGCGGAACGUAUAUGCUGCGGAUAAAUGAUAAGAAUACAACACUAGAAUUCGCGGACCUUUGUGAAUAUAAAACACCACAAAGAGAAUGGACUACCCCAUCAAUAAUUAAACAACAGACGUUGGGACAACAAUUAUGUUAUGUUCAGGGUUUUUGGGAUGCUGAGGGGGGACUUCCUCAUAAUCCUUCACAGAGCUCUCAAUUUUAUCUAUCAUUUGACCAAGAGAAUUAUGAAGCGCUAAACUUCAUUCGUUCUGUAUUAUUGAAACUUAACUUUAAUCCCACCAACAUAACACGAACUGGGAAAUGUUGGCAGUUCCGACUCACUCGAAAAGAAGAAAUUAUCAGAUAUGCACGGGAGAUAUCCACCCGGCAUCCUGAUAAGCAAUCCCGCAUGCGCUCCCUAACCCAGCUUCUCCUCCCCUGAAUUGGCGGGGGAGCACCACAAGGGGUGGACGUUGCGGCUUAAUUGGAGUCAACGCCGGAAACCUUACCGGGGGCGACAGCAGGAUGAUGGCCAGGUUAAAGGCCUUGCCGGACGAGCUGAGAGGAGGUGCAUGGCCGUCGCCAGUGCGUGCCGUGAGGUGUCCUGUUAAUUCAGGCAACGGACGAGACCCGCGCCUCCAGUUGCGACCGGGCCGAAAGGCGCCGAGCACUCUGGAGGGACUGCCCCGGAAACGGGGAGGAAGGAGCGGGCUACGGCAGGUCAGUAUGCCCCGAAUCCCCCGGGCCGCACGCGACGUUCAAUGGUGGGGACAGUGGGCUGCGACCCCGAAAGGGGAAGCCAAUCCCUAAACCCCACCUCAGUAGGGAUCGAGGGUUGCAACUCGCCCUCGUGAACGCGGAAUCCCUAGUAACCGCCCGUUACCACCGGGCGGUGAAUACGUCCCCGCUCCUUGCACACACUGCCCGUCGCUGCACCCGAGCUGGAACUGGGCGAGGGCCCGUCUUGUUGGCGGGUUCGAGCCCGGUUCUGGUGAGGGGGCAGAAGUCGUAACAAGGUGGCCGCACGGGAACGUGUGGCCGGAUCACCUCCU